Molecule: long non-coding RNA, 1323 nt
Filed under: Sus scrofa (pig)
Lineage: Eukaryota; Metazoa; Chordata; Mammalia; Artiodactyla; Suidae
Description: lncRNA (ENSSSCG00035049962.1, ENSSSCG00070030274.1)
Source: RNAcentral
UAUUUUGGGGAUGUGAUACUGCAAUUUGUGUUAUGGGAUCAGGACAUCUGUUUCCAGGGAGGUGUGUUCUCUUACCGUGAGUCUUUCCCACCGGGGAUCUCUCACGCCCUCGGAUGGUUACACGCUUUGUCUGGGGUGCUUGUUAGCAUAAUGGGGGCUUCUGGUAGCAAGUGUCCUCACUAGUACGUCAGCAUGAGUGGUCUGGGGCCAACUGGGAGGUGACCAAGAACUGCUUGGGUCCCAUCCUGUCCCUCAGAUGGUGUCCAGCCAUGCAGUAAGCUGUAGGAUUAGGCAGUGUACCAUCUGUCAGAGGGCAUAGGCAGCCUCCUACUUAACGAUUAAGUUUUAGCCAUUUAUUUGAUUAAAUUUCAGUUAUGCUAACUGUCCCCAUGUGGAUUAAUGUCUUUUGCUGGGGAACUCUACUGCCAGCAGAUCUUGGCCUACAGCCCCCUCUCACCAGGGGGCAUCUUCCCAGGGGGAGGUCUGAAGCAAGAAGUUUGCUCCCUGUAAGAGACAGAAGAAAAUUGAUCUUCUAUGUGCCAGACACCUUACUUUUUAUGAUAAACCAGUGAGUUAAAAAUUUCACACGUGAAGAAAUGGACCUUCAGAGAGGUUAACUCAGCCAGGAUCACACAGCUGGUACAGGGUAAAGCCAGGAUCUCAAUCCACACCUGUCAAAUACCAGGCCUCUUCUCAUCAAAGGUUGCUGUUUUCAUGUCCUCUCACCCUCCCUCUGAAAGCUCCUGAGAGACCAGAUCUAGACAUCAUUUAAGCUUUGGAGACAUGAACUGAAGCCAAUGAGUUACCUCUUAGGGCAUUUUAUAGCCUCAGUUCUUUUUUUAAAAAACUGAUUAUAGUUGAUUUACAAUGUUCUGUCAACUUCUGCUGUACAGCAAAGUGACCCAGUCAUACAUAUACAGCCUCAGUUCUAAUGAGAGUGUAAAAGGCGUCCUAACUUAGGGAAGGGAUUUUAGGCAUCACACUGAAAGAUGGGAAAUAUUUUGGGGGAGGGGGAUUAGGAAAGAGUGAUAAUCUCUCCUGAGCCCUAAAAUCACCCUGAGGUGUGACUGCUUCCCUACCCAUGGGAAGAGCACUUUAGAACUGUUGCUGAUUUAUAUGGAUUUGUCUGUGUCACUACCUCCAUCUUAAGUGAAUCAUGCAGUUUCGCGGCAUCCUUUACAUCCUUUACAUCCUUUAGCAAUCCUUUACAUACCCACAUUUCUCUCGAGGAAGGGGUAGAGGUCAGAUAAAUACUGACAUAGAGGACCCAGAAUCCAAUAGCACCAACCUCAUCCCAUAAACAUUUGUCCAUCCACCCGACAG